Mirounga angustirostris (Northern elephant seal) is the source of this 2203-nucleotide RNA transcript. It is a transcript of the gene named EBP like, with no coding region annotated. The record is from RefSeq and is a predicted model, not a curated record. The transcript has 8 exons. NCBI's taxonomy places the organism in Eukaryota, Metazoa, Chordata, Mammalia, Carnivora, Phocidae.
CGGCGGCCCCGCCCCGCCGCUUCUCCGCGGCUCCCCUUCGCAGGGCCCCCGGCCGCCGGCCGCAUGGGCGCGGGCUGGGAGCUGGGGGCGGCGGCCGGCCGCUCGCUGCUGCUGUGCGCCGCGCUGCUGCUCGCGGGCUGCGCGCUGGGCCUGCGCCUGGGCCGCGGCCGGGGGGCGGCGGACCGCGGGGUGCUGGCCUGGCUCUGCUACGACGCCCUGGUGCAUUUCGCCCUGGAAGGCCCUUUUGUCUACUUGUCUUUUGUAGGAAACAUUGCAGAUUCCAAAGGCUUGAUUGCUUCACUGUGGAAAGAAUAUGGCAAAGCUGAUGCAAGAUGGCUUUAUUUUGACCCAACCAUUGUGUCUUUGGAAAUUCUGACUGUUGUCCUGGAUGGGUCUCUGGCAUUAGUCCUCAUUUAUGCCAUAGUCAAAGAGAAAUAUUAUCGGUUAAGCCAACAUUUCAUGCCAUAUGAAAUUGAAGUUUGUGGAAUUCAAAAAGCUGCUGCUUUUAUGAGCCGUAUGGGAAAGGGAUACAGGGGUCAUGCUUCACCACACCAAGAAAUACGUCUCUCAGCCAAGAGGUGGCAGCAAAGGUUGGCCUCUCCACCUCCUGUUCACCCAGGGACUCUCCCAUCUCAUCCCAGGCUCUGCAGAAAGAGGCACAGACUAAACAACUCAUCAUUCCUAUUUGACUUCCAUCUGUCUGAAGGCCAGGCCUGGGGCUUCUGGAAGGGAGGGCUCUGCCCCACCUUCCCUCCCCCUCCGCCCCAGCCCAUUCUCCACUUAUCCCGCUGAGUUGCAUCAUCUUGGUUCUGAGGAAAGUGCAAGUCUUCUGUGAGGGAACCUCCCCACCCCACCUGAGGCUGGGUUGGGAAUGCUUGAGGUGUUGAUGUGUGUUCUAAAUCCUUGAGGACAAGAAGGAAAGGCAAGGUCCUGGCUCACCCACGUGUGGGGCAUGGGCGCCUGGUCCACUUGGAGGGACACAACUAUCCCAGGCCCACAGGAGGAGGUGCGUGUGUAGACCGGGGAGGACGGACAACUGAAAACCACAGCAGAACCAAGUCAAAACCAACCCCUGUGGUUCACUUUCACCAAGAGGAUUGAUUCUGACCAAGAGAGGAAGGAGAAAAAUCUUUAAAAUCUGUGAGUCAGAAAGGGAGAAACUCAGCCUCAUAUUCAGAUGGGUAAUCAGCUCUCCAAACUGGAACAGUUCUCACUGUACACAGUGUUCACAGAAAAAAAGAACAGAGGCAUUUUAAUUUAAGAAGAAAACAGACACCUGCUGUCCUGCAUUUAUUGCCACAUCCACUGGCGCACAUUCCUGCUUCUUCACUCACUCUCGGGGAUUAAUGGGAGCUUGAUGGAUCUGAAAGGUGUGGGGGAAUUGGAACAGGCAAAGUACCUCUCAGAGAGAGAGAGAGCUGGAGAGCACAAGCAGGGGAAGAAGCAGAGGGAGAGAGAGAAGCAGGUUCUCCACUGAGCAGGGAGCCCACUGUGGAGCUCCAUCCUAGAACCUUGGGAUCAUGAUCCGAGCUGAAGACAGAUGCCCAGCUGACUGAGCCACCCAGGCGCCCCUCUCUCCCUCUAAAUAAGUUUCUCAUGGAAGCCACUUGUUAAAGAUGGCAGAACCACAACAUGGAAGGAAACUUGGGUCCUCGAAUCACGUCUUGGAGGAGAGCUUUGUGCCUGUGAGGAAUCAUCAUUUUGGAUGUUCCAUGAGUGAGAAAUAAACUUCUAUUUUGUUAAGACACUGAGGUUCUGGGGCUUAUCUAUUAUGACAGAUAGCAUUAACUAAAAUCACAUGUAGAGUCCUUAGUACGAUACCUGACACAAUACCCACUGAAUAAAUGUUAGAUGUUAAAAUCAUGACUCUAAAUAUAAACCAGGAGGUGCCUGGGUGGCUCAGUCAGUUGAAUGUCCCACUCUUGGUUUUGGCUCAGGUCAUGAUCUCAGGGUUGUAGAAUCAAGACCCAUGGAGUCUGCUUGUCCCUCUCCCUCUGCUCCUCUCUCUCUCUCUCUCAUAAAUAAAUAAAUAAAAUAUUUUUUAAGUAAAUAAAUAUGGGGCACCUGGGUGGCUCAGUCAGUUCAGUGUCUGCCUUUGGCUCAGGUCAUGAUCUCAGGGUCCUGGGAUCGAGCCCCGCAUCGGGCUCCCUGCUCAGCAGGGAUCUUGCUUCUCCCUCUCCCUCUGCUCCUCCCCCCUGCUCAU